GCUCUUGCUGCCCGAGGUUUUAUUUACGCAGCCAAAGUUCCUGAGUGCCUCCUUCGCAUAUAAGCACGGGGCCUGCAAGGGUUAAGCUGUAGCGCUAGGCUAGUGUGGGUCUGCAGGACCCUAGACGGUUCACUACAGAGAUGAGGGUCCCGGGAGUUCUCAGCAUCCACACGUCGAGGACUGCUACCCCCUUGCACCCCCGGGGGUCGCUGCUGCAUCCUUUGGCCCAACUACCGCAUAUUCUUCCUACAUCAGCUUUGGAAUGGACUAAUAUCCCCAGCAUCUGGCUCCCCACCCGAAGCUGGAGAUGCAGAGACAGAGGAGGGGGACCAAGGAAUGGGAUCCAUAAGGAAGUGCAUCACUGUAUGGGAGGGCUUUGAGGUCUUCUAUGCUCAAGCUCCUCCCAGUAUAAGAUCCAGUCCCCUCCUGGCUGCCUUCGGAUCAAGAUUUAGAACUCCUCUAGUACUAUGUCUGCCUGCACACUGCCAUGCUUUCCCACCAUGAUGACAAUGGACUGAACCUCUGAAACUGUAAGCCAACCCCAAUUAAAGAGUUGCCUUUAA
Molecule: long non-coding RNA, 563 nt
Organism: Mus musculus (house mouse)
Lineage: Eukaryota; Metazoa; Chordata; Mammalia; Rodentia; Muridae
Product: predicted gene, 39478
Exons: 3
Source: RefSeq, marked validated